UGAGGAAUAUUGGUCAAUGGACGCAAGUCUGAACCAGCCAAGUAGCGUGCAGGAUGACGGCCCUAUGGGUUGUAAACUGCUUUUAUAUGGGGAUAAAGUGGGGAACGUGUUCCCUUUUGCAGGUACCAUAUGAAUAAGGACCGGCUAAUUCCGUGCCAGCAGCCGCGGUAAUACGGAAGGUUCGGGCGUUAUCCGGAUUUAUUGGGUUUAAAGGGAGCGUAGGCCGUUUGGUAAGCGUGUUGUGAAAUGUAGGAGCUCAACUUCUAGAUUGCGGCUCGAACUGUCAGACUUGAGUGCGCACAACGUAGGCGGAAUUCAUGGUGUAGCGGUGAAAUGCUUAGAUAUCAUGAAGAACUCCGAUUGCGAAGGCAGCUUACGGGAGCGACACUGACGCUGAAGCUCGAAGGUGCGGGUAUCGAACAGG
RNAcentral lists this ribosomal RNA (424 nucleotides) under Verrucomicrobiota bacterium. RNAcentral's name for it is "Verrucomicrobia bacterium partial 16S ribosomal RNA". It matches the Rfam family "Bacterial small subunit ribosomal RNA", at positions 355 to 776 of the family's 1533-position model. Lineage: Bacteria; Pseudomonadati; Verrucomicrobiota. The record is from RNAcentral.